GACGAACGCUGGCGGCGUGCCUAAUACAUGCAAGUCGAGCGCAGGAAACUGACGGAACUCUUCGGAGGGAAGGCAGUGGAAUGAGCGGCGGACGGGUGAGUAACACGUAAGGAACCUGCCUCAAGGAUUGGGAUAACUCCGAGAAAUCGGAGCUAAUACCGGAUAGUUCAUCGGACCGCAUGGUCCGCUGAUGAAAGGCGCUUCGGCGUCACCUUGAGAUGGCCUUGCGGUGCAUUAGCUAGUUGGUGGGGUAACGGCCCACCAAGGCGACGAUGCAUAGCCGACCUGAGAGGGUGAUCGGCCACACUGGGACUGAGACACGGCCCAGACUCCUACGGGAGGCAGCAGUAGGGAAUCUUCCACAAUGGACGAAAGUCUGAUGGAGCAACGCCGCGUGAGUGAUGAAGGUUUUCGGAUCGUAAAACUCUGUUGUAAGGGAAGAACACGUACGAGAGGGAAUGCUCGUACCUUGACGGUACCUUACGAGAAAGCCACGGCUAACUACGUGCCAGCAGCCGCGGUAA
Molecule: ribosomal RNA, 524 nt
Filed under: uncultured bacterium
Lineage: Bacteria
Description: partial 16S ribosomal RNA
Rfam family: Bacterial small subunit ribosomal RNA
Source: RNAcentral